CCUACGGGUGGCAGCAGUGGGGGAUAUUGCACAAUGGGGGAAACCCUGAUGCAGCGACGCCGCGUGGGUGAAGAAGCGCCUCGGCGCGUAAAGCCCUGUCAGCAGGGAAGAAAAUGACGGUACCUGACGAAUAAGCCCCGGCGAACUACGAGCCAGCAGCCGAGGUAAUACGUAGGGGCCAAGCGUUAUCCGGAUUUACUGGGUGUAAAGGGGGCGCAGACGGGUAUGCAAGCCAGGCGUGAAAGCCCGGGGCCGAACCCCGGGACUGCUCUUGGAACUGCGUGGCUAGAGUGCAGGAGGGGUAGGCGGAAUUCCUGGUGUAGCGGUGAAAUGCGUAGAUAUCAGGAAGAACACCGGUGGCGAAGGCGGCCUGCUGGUCUGCAACUGACGUUGAGGCCCGAAAGCGUGGGGAGCAAACAGGAUUAGAUACCCGGGUAGUC
Molecule: ribosomal RNA, 440 nt
Filed under: uncultured bacterium
Lineage: Bacteria
Description: partial 16S ribosomal RNA
Rfam family: Bacterial small subunit ribosomal RNA
Source: RNAcentral